RNAcentral lists this ribosomal RNA (461 nucleotides) under uncultured bacterium. RNAcentral's name for it is "SSU rRNA". It matches the Rfam family "Bacterial small subunit ribosomal RNA", at positions 26 to 518 of the family's 1533-position model. The record is from RNAcentral.
AGGACUAACGCUGGCGGCGUGCCUAACACAUGCAAGUCGAACGGGGUAGCAAUACCCAGUGGCAGACGGGUGAGUAACACGUGGUCAACCUACCUCUGUGUGGGGGAUAACUAGCCGAAAGGUUAGCUAAUACCGCAUACGAUCGUUUUGAGGCAUCUCGAGACGAUGAAAGGAGCAAUCCGCACGGAGAGGGGACUGCGUCCCAUUAGUUAGUUGGUGGGGUAACGGCCUACCAAGACUCCGAUGGGUAGCUGGCUUGAGAGAGCGACCAGCCACACUGGAACUGAGAAACGGUCCAGACUCCUACGGGAGGCAGCAGUGAGGAAUUUUCCGCAAUGGGCGAAAGCCUGACGGAGCGACGCCGCGUGUGGGAUGAAGGCCUUCGGGUCGUAAACCACUGUCGAAGGGACGAUAAUGACGGUACCUUGGAGGAGCCCGGCUAACUACGCGCCAGUAGCCGC